GAUCUUAAAGGAAACCUUCGACCUAAGGAAAGGAGCGGGAGAGAGUCAGGGUCGCGCAGCGGGACCAGGGAUUAAGGCAGUCGGUUCCCUUGGAGUUCUCUGCUGGUGGACCUCUGCUCUGAUCCACAGUCUUCGGGUACUGCCCAGUAGCAGAGUAACUGUUUGAUCUUUUCAACCCAAGUUCAUCCUCUCAGACACGUUAGCCCUUUUGAGGUAUCCUAUAAAAUACUGAGUUGGCCUUCUGUAUCCAUCAGUUCCAUAUCAGUGGAUUCAACCAACUGUAUGUAGAUUGUUCCAACUGCCAGUGAGAACAAUGACUAAACACCACCUCCAAUUCUACCUAUCCAAAUGCACAAUCGGUAAGGAGGUGUCAUGCUUCAACUCCAAGUGUAAGCUCACAGAAAAAGCACCAAGGCAAAGCUUUUCCAUUUUGUCAUCAAACUUUCUCUAAGGUGUAUGGAAGGUGACAACGUGCCAGCCAAAGAAGAAUGCUCAAUGAGCACCAUCCAACCGGAGCAAGGAUGUGGCAGGCUCUGGGUGCAGACAGAUGGAAGUCUCUGGCAAGUUCUUCUUUAUAUUUUUCUCACUCUGUGGAUAAAUACAGGCACUCACAGAUAUCAUUGUAAAUUUCAGUUGCUAUUUCUAGGGAGCCCAAUGUUGUGUGCAGUGUUAUAAGGAGAAUGUUGGCUCUUAUGUGAAGAUUUACCUCACUGCAUUGUCAUCUUCUGAUGAUACCCCCAGGAAAUACAUCCCAGAGUUCAAGGAAUAGAAAGACACACUGACCAAGCAGAGAUUUUCAAAUAACAUAGACUAGUAACUCAAUUAAAAACACAGUGGAGGGUCAAGGGAAAAGAAAAAAGGUAAAAUAAUCCACUUAGGAUAGAGUACAAGGAAGAUAGAAAGGACGUACUAUCUGAGUCCCGAGAUAUGUUCUAUCAGAGAAACACAGAAGUAUGCCUGGCCAAGAUGUAGUUCAUCUUUUAACCUGAUGAGCAGCUGUAGAUUUUAUUUAUGUCUCUUGGGAGACCGCAGGUAGGGUCAGAAAGGUGUCACAAAUGGUUGGUCAAUUUAAGAACUCAUAAAUAUUGUGUGCCUUCAUAAGCCUCAUGAAUUUGUUAUGUAUCAGGAGUAUUAUGUGUCUCAGGUAUAUGCAGUGUAUUAUGAAUAUUAAGUACCACUUGAUCUUUCUGUCUCUACGUCUGGUGCAUACCUGUUUUACUUAUGUUACCUAUUCCUAACCCAUAAUAUAGUUUACUGAUUUACUUAAUAUUUUCAUGAAUUCUGUCUGUACCUCACAAGCUACUUGUUUCCACAUCUAAUUUAUCAUCAUUUGUCUCUUUUUCCUAUUUCCUAUAUCAGAAUUGAAUCAUCUUAAAUAAUAAAGGAAAAAUCACAUUACAUUAAAAGUGAGAGAGGACUUGCUGGAGAGAAGGGAAAUGUAAAAGCUGGGAGAACUGGGUCAGUGAUAGUUGAGACAACAUUGUAAUUUAACAUAGUUAUAGUGAAUGUUGGGAGAUAAUGAAAAAAGAUAACACAGAUAGUGAAUCCACAUCUGUUUUAUAAGGUUGAUGAUUAGCACUUUCUUUCUUAUUAGAAACAGGAGUGUCUGCCACAAACAGGAAUGCCUUCUGCCCUGUUUCUACCUUAGAAUAUGGAAGUCACUCUUAAAAGGUCCAGAGUGAGAUAACUAUCUUCUUUCUUUACAUCUAAUUAUCACCUUUUCCUUAAGCAUUGCCUCCCUUAGGAACAGCCUCUUCACAGUGUGGUUGAUGGAGAAGAUAUCCACUUCCCAGGAUAGACUCCAUUUUCUACCCAAUGUCCCAGCGACACAAUUACCACAAAGAAGGGAGUUCGUCUCACUGAAACUGUUAAAGGAAGAUAAGAUGGUGUUUAAGACCCAUGGAGCUGAGGAAGUAACGAGAGAGAUCUCAAUGCCAGAACCUCCACGUCAGAGACCUCCAGGCCAAAUAGCCGAGCACAGAAGGAAAGAAUGGCUAGAACCCGGUUUGGCAAUGGCUGAAAACCGUGAAGAACGAGAUAGGUGACUAGGAUCCAGGGAAAUAAUUCAGUUUUCAAAAAAAGGCCAAAAGAUAAAAGCAAGCAAGAAAGCAAACAAAUAACAGUAAUAACAAAAUUUAAGAACCCCUUGCAUGGAAGAGAUACUUAUUUCCUCUGGACUGAAAGUUGGAUAUAAAGGAUUUCAGUAUUUUCGGAACACAUGAUGAUGGGAUUCCAAAUUCCUGUAUUAUCAGUUGGAUAUCUGGCCUAAAGAACUGUUCAAACUGCUCCAAUCUGAAAUUGAGGUUUAGCUUAUGUGACAGCAGCCCAGCACCAAAUGUUCUCUGACACACUAAGGAUUUUCUUGCCACAACACUGGACAUUUCGAAACCUAAGAACAAGGAAGUCUUAUGAAUGACUUUGUCACUACUCUUGACCACACGAUGGCAUCAGAAGUGGGGUCUAAAGUAGAGCUUCUAACAACCCCCAUGAGCACUGAGUGACCAAGCAAGGUACCCGCCAGGCCUAUUCUGUCUGUUGCUCUCUCAGAGCAGCUGGCGAUCAUGGAGGUUCAUGAUAGGAUGAAAAGAAACCUGAGAAGUACUCUUGAAUACAGGUUUCUGAAUAACUUUCGAAUCAUAUCAUUUGGACUGGGUAUGAUGAGACCAAAAGACCAGGAGACAACUGCCAAAGGUUAUACAACUCCAGAUCCAAAGGGAAAGGGACAUGACACUAUGCGGGAGGCACCUGGAAAAGCACCAAGGUUGGUCAGGAGGAAGAUGGACUGUGCUGAAACUGCAGAUGACAGACACUUCAUUGGCUUUGGCAAAGCAGAAAUUUAUUAGCUUACAAGGUUUAAGUAACAGCUUUUCUUUCCCAGCUCGGAUUUAUUUGAGUUCAAGGACUUCAGUAUUCAAUUUGAAGGAGUGGAAAUAAACCAGGAAAGAAUAAGGAGCAAGAAAGCCUCGAUUUCUUAUCCUUUUAAGUGGCUGAUAUCAAAAUAUCAAUGUGACCUCACCGGACUCAAAGUUGAGAAGACAUGCUCACAAAUGUAUCACAUUGCAUGGUUAAAGCUAGAGCAAAUCAGCUCCUGAAUAUCAUUACCUGCAGAAGUGAGCAUACUUCUCGAGAAUGAUGCCUUCUUUUACCUCGUGGAUAAGAGCAACUUGCAUCCUGGAUCAAAUUUUAGUUACCGUGUUUGUGCUACAAAGCUUAGAGCCAAACUAAAAGCUAAUUUAAAUUAAUGUAUGUAUUAUUUAAAAUAAUGUAUGUUUUCAAGUUUUUGCUGAGUCAUUUCUAGGUCUAUUUGAACUUAACUCAAUCCUUGUUUUAUUUUUUCAGUUUUGUUUUGUUUUCAGAGACAGGGUCUCACUCGGUAGCCCAGGCUGGA
Cercocebus atys (sooty mangabey) is the source of this 3388-nucleotide long non-coding RNA. RefSeq lists it as uncharacterized. The transcript is spliced from 17 exons. NCBI's taxonomy places the organism in Eukaryota, Metazoa, Chordata, Mammalia, Primates, Cercopithecidae. The record is from RefSeq and is a predicted model, not a curated record.